Molecule: ribosomal RNA, 405 nt
Filed under: uncultured prokaryote
Also listed under: 1 other name
Description: bacterial SSU rRNA
Rfam family: Bacterial small subunit ribosomal RNA
Source: RNAcentral
GGAGGAAUAUUGCACAACGGGGGGAACCCAGGUGCAGCAACGCCGCGUGAGUGAAGAAGGCCUUCGGGUUGUAAAACUCUUUUCUGUGGGAUGAGGAAGGACAGUACCACAGGAAUAAGUCUCGGCUAACUACGUGCCAGCAGCCGCGGUAAGACGUAGGAGGCGAGCGUUAUCCGGAAUUACUGGGCGUAAAGGGCAAGUAGGCGGCGCAGCAAGUCAGUUGUGACAGGUUCCGGCUCAACUGGGAGAGGACGACUGAGACUGUUACGCUAGAGGACAGGAGAGGGGAGUGGAAUUCCUUGUGUAGCGGUGGAAUGCUCAGAUACAAGGAAGAACACCAGUGGCGAAGGCGGCUCUCUGGCCUGAUCCUGACGCUGAAGGGCGAAAGCUAGGGGAGCGAACGGG